UAUCUUUAAACGAAUUGUGUGUCAGACGGCUAUGGAUAAGCUAGCACCUCCCCUAAUCAGCUCGAGGUCAAGCUAGCACCUCCCCUACAGCUAAUUACUCUAACUUUAAAAUGGUACAAUUUAAAGCUAAUGGUUGCUCUAUUUCUAUCUGUAGGUUUUGGAAUGUUACACGCAAGGUGGGUAUACGCCAUACCGAUCUAUCGGGUGUUAGUCCCACAUCAAGAGAAAUUUCUAAGGCAUUAAAUAUCAGGCCUAAAGGCAGGUAUAAGCCAGGCUAAUCUACUAAGUGUUAGUCCCGCUUUACAAAAAAAUUCUAAGGCAUUUAAUGCCAUAUCGCUCGUUAAGAAAAAAAUCAAGGGGCUCAUAAGGGCUAGAAAAAUGCAUAGAAGCUCGCAAAGGCAUUUGGUGCCAAAAGCUCGUCAGGGCUAUAAAAGGCUAGGAAGCCCGUCAGGGCUGUGUAAGGCCAUGGAGCUCGCAAGGGUUAGAAAAAUGGGCAGAAGCUCGUCAAGGCAUUUGAUACCAUAAAGCUUAGAGGAGCGUCAAGGCUAAGAUUAGGGCUAGAAAAAUGCUAGGAAGAUCGUGAAGGCUAGAAAAAGGCAAGGGGUUCGUAAGGGCUAAAAAAAUACCCAGAAGAUCGCAAAGGCAUUUGGUGCCAAAUGCUCGUUAGGGCUGUAAAAGGCCAGGAAGCUCAUUAAGGCAGUAUAAGGCUAGGGAGUUGGUAAGGGCUAGAAAAAUAUCCGAAAGCUCACAAAGGCAUUUGGUGCUAAAAGCUCGUUAGGGCUGUAAAAGGCCAGGAAGCCCGUUAGAGCAGUAUAAGGCCAGGGAGCUCGUAAGGGCUAGAAAAAUGUUCGAAAACUCAGAAAGGCAUUUGGUGCCAAAAGCUUGUCAAGGCAUUUGGUGCCAAAAGCUUGUCAAGGCAUUUGGUCAGGCUCCGACCAUAAUCCGAGCGCUGGUCCCACCAAUCAAGGUAUUCAUGCCAGGCCAUAAGGCGAGAAUAAGCCAGGUUAGAAGACCGAGCAUUUAUCCCACUAAUCAAGGCCUUCGAUGCCAUGCCACAAGGCGGGCGUACGUCAGGCCAACCAAUUAGGUAUUAAUCUCGCUUCACAAGAAGAGUCUAAGGCAUUUGAUGCCGACCAACCGAGUGUGAGCCCUAUCUCACAAGAAGUCUAAAGAAGACAGGUCUUCAAAUGUUACCUUCAAAAGACAGAGGCUAGUUUUUGCCAAAGAAGUGCCACAAGACAGAUAAUCGCCAAACACAUGACUGAGUGUUAGACCCAAAGCCGUUAAAGUCAGUUGUACACUUCGAAUAUGAAGAAUUGAAAAAUAGCAAGAGGACCCUUGAGCCACAAGGCAAGGGUCUGAUAAACCGAUAAAAGGUCCCACUUCACAAAAAAAAUCUCCAAAAGCAUUUGUCACUGAUUUUAUAAUCACUCCUGGAAAUUCAAAAAAUUUUAUGAAGAAAGAAAGCCCCGUAGACGGGUGAAAUGAUUUUUGAUGAUUGGCAAAGUCGGGGCAGGCUAUUAAGCGAAGGAGUGAAGUCUGCAAGAAGACUGAAAGCUGUCAGGAUUGGAAAACACUCACCAGGGCUAGUUAGGGCAAUAAAAUGACUAGAAGCUCGCAAGGGCUAGAAAAUUGCCUGAAAGCUUGCAAAGGCAUUUUGAUGCCAGAAAACUCGCAAGGGCUAGAGAAAGCCCGAAAGUUUGUAAGGGCCAGAAAAAUGCCUAGAAAUUCAAAAUGUCCAAAAGCUUGUCAGGUCUGAAAAAUGUCCAAAAGCUCAUUAAAGCUGGCCUAGUAUGGAAAAUGCCUAGAAGAUAGACAGGGCCGGUCAGCGCAAGUGAGUACCCAGAAGACUCAUGAUAGCCUAUCAGGGCUAGUUAGUGCAAGAAAGCACUAAGAGCUCGUCAAGGCUAGACAACACAAGAAAAUGCCUAGAAGCUCAUUAGGGUUGUAGAGUGCUCGGAAGCACGUCACGGCUAUAAAAUGCCUAGAAACUUGUCAAGAAUGGAAAAUGCAUGGCUGGUUGCUGCUAGAAGCUCGAUAGGGCUGAAAAAUGCCCAAAUGAUCCCCAGGGCUGGUUGGUGCUAGAGAAAGCUCAAAAACUCAUCAAGACAAUACUGUAUCACUUAAUCUUUGCCAGACAACAUCUUGGACCUGACUGGUUUGCAGAAGAAAGCAAGGACAUCUAGCGCUUAGCACGGACAAACAAGCCACAUAACCUAGAUCAUGAAGACAACUGUCAUCUUCGAAUCUAAAGAAUCAAAGACCAGCGGGGGGACCUCUGAUGCUAUAUAAGAAUUUUUUAAAGUAAUUCGUGAGCUGUCAUCAUGAGAUAGAGCCACGUGGCAAGGGCUUGAUAGGUUGAUACACAGUCCCACUCAUAAAAAGGAAGACUCGGACGACCAUUAUGCUCGAAACUAAGAGACGAAGGACCUUUCUUCAGGACAAGUCGGCCUAAGAUAAAGGUUGGUCAAAUUCAAAGGCGAGUCUCCAUAAGGAAGUUACCAUUAAUAAUUACAAUUCAGCAGACCCAUUUUUAUGCUUGCAAUCAGGGGAUUCUUGAUCCAUUAGCUGGUGAAGAUCUCUUUCCAACGAGUCGACCACAUCAUAGCCAGAUUAUCAAGAAAUAAUAUAUUUAUCUCCAUCUUCUUAUAGUAUAAAAGAAGAAGGAUCUCAAAGACUAAGGUAUUGUAACAGCCCAGAAACCGAACUGCCACCGACACUAGGAUCCAGAUCGACUUAAGGUCGCCGGGACCCGUAGUAAGCCUGCUAUCCUGUCUGUAUAUCUGUGAAAUCCCAUACAUGAUCAUACAUUUUCUGAAAAACAUAAAACUUUUCUUCAUUCCAAGACUUAACCUGUGCAUGCACUCUCUCUGUUCUCU
Molecule: long non-coding RNA, 2879 nt
Filed under: Manihot esculenta (cassava)
Lineage: Eukaryota; Viridiplantae; Streptophyta; Magnoliopsida; Malpighiales; Euphorbiaceae
Description: long non-coding RNA (MESC_LNC004113)
Source: RNAcentral